GGUUAAGCGACUAAGCGUACACGGUGGAUGCCCUGGCAGUCAGAGGCGAUGAAGGACGUGCUAAUCUGCGAUAAGCGUCGGUGAGGUGAUAUGAACCGUUAUAACCGGCGAUUUCCGAAUGGGGAAACCCAGUGUGAUUCGUCACACUAUCAUUAACUGAAUCCAUAGGUUAAUGAGGCGAACCGGGGGAACUGAAACAUCUAAGUACCCCGAGGAAAAGAAAUCAACCGAGAUUCCCCCAGUAGCGGCGAGCGAACGGGGAGGAGCCCAGAGCCUGAAUCAGUGUGUGUGUUAGUGGAAGCGUCUGGAAAGGCGCGCGAUACAGGGUGACAGCCCCGUACACAAAAAUGCACAUACUGUGAGCUCGAUGAGUAGGGCGGGACACGUGGUAUCCUGUCUGAAUAUGGGGGGACCAUCCUCCAAGGCUAAAUACUCCUGACUGACCGAUAGUGAACCAGUACCGUGAGGGAAAGGCGAAAAGAACCCCGGCGAGGGGAGUGAAAAAGAACCUGAAACCGUGUACGUACAAGCAGUGGGAGCCUCUUUAUGGGGUGACUGCGUACCUUUUGUAUAAUGGGUCAGCGACUUAUAUUCUGUAGCAAGGUUAACCGAAUAGGGGAGCCGAAGGGAAACCGAGUCUUAACUGGGCGUUAAGUUGCAGGGUAUAGACCCGAAACCCGGUGAUCUAGCCAUGGGCAGGUUGAAGGUUGGGUAACACUAACUGGAGGACCGAACCGACUAAUGUUGAAAAAUUAGCGGAUGACUUGUGGCUGGGGGUGAAAGGCCAAUCAAACCGGGAGAUAGCUGGUUCUCCCCGAAAGCUAUUUAGGUAGCGCCUCGUGAAUUCAUCUCCGGGGGUAGAGCACUGUUUCGGCAAGGGGGUCAUCCCGACUUACCAACCCGAUGCAAACUGCGAAUACCGGAGAAUGUUAUCACGGGAGACACACGGCGGGUGCUAACGUCCGUCGUGAAGAGGGAAACAACCCAGACCGCCAGCUAAGGUCCCAAAGUCAUGGUUAAGUGGGAAACGAUGUGGGAAGGCCCAGACAGCCAGGAUGUUGGCUUAGAAGCAGCCAUCAUUUAAAGAAAGCGUAAUAGCUCACUGGUCGAGUCGGCCUGCGCGGAAGAUGUAACGGGGCUAAACCAUGCACCGAAGCUGCGGCAGCGACACUAUGUGUUGUUGGGUAGGGGAGCGUUCUGUAAGCCUGUGAAGGUGUACUGUGAGGUAUGCUGGAGGUAUCAGAAGUGCGAAUGCUGACAUAAGUAACGAUAAAGCGGGUGAAAAGCCCGCUCGCCGGAAGACCAAGGGUUCCUGUCCAACGUUAAUCGGGGCAGGGUGAGUCGACCCCUAAGGCGAGGCCGAAAGGCGUAGUCGAUGGGAAACAGGUUAAUAUUCCUGUACUUGGUGUUACUGCGAAGGGGGGACGGAGAAGGCUAUGUUGGCCGGGCGACGGUUGUCCCGGUUUAAGCGUGUAGGCUGGUUUUCCAGGCAAAUCCGGAAAAUCAAGGCUGAGGCGUGAUGACGAGGCACUACGGUGCUGAAGCAACAAAUGCCCUGCUUCCAGGAAAAGCCUCUAAGCAUCAGGUAACAUCAAAUCGUACCCCAAACCGACACAGGUGGUCAGGUAGAGAAUACCAAGGCGCUUGAGAGAACUCGGGUGAAGGAACUAGGCAAAAUGGUGCCGUAACUUCGGGAGAAGGCACGCUGAUAUGUAGGUGAAGCGACUUGCUCGUGGAGCUGAAAUCAGUCGAAGAUACCAGCUGGCUGCAACUGUUUAUUAAAAACACAGCACUGUGCAAACACGAAAGUGGACGUAUACGGUGUGACGCCUGCCCGGUGCCGGAAGGUUAAUUGAUGGGGUCAGCGCAAGCGAAGCUCUUGAUCGAAGCCCCGGUAAACGGCGGCCGUAACUAUAACGGUCCUAAGGUAGCGAAAUUCCUUGUCGGGUAAGUUCCGACCUGCACGAAUGGCGUAAUGAUGGCCAGGCUGUCUCCACCCGAGACUCAGUGAAAUUGAACUCGCUGUGAAGAUGCAGUGUACCCGCGGCAAGACGGAAAGACCCCGUGAACCUUUACUAUAGCUUGACACUGAACAUUGAGCCUUGAUGUGUAGGAUAGGUGGGAGGCUUUGAAGUGUGGACGCCAGUCUGCAUGGAGCCGGCCUUGAAAUACCACCCUUUAAUGUUUGAUGUUCUAACGUUGGCCCCUGACCGGGGUUGCGGACAGUGUCUGGUGGGUAGUUUGACUGGGGCGGUCUCCUCCUAAAGAGUAACGGAGGAGCACGAAGGUUGGCUAAUCCUGGUCGGACAUCAGGAGGUUAGUGCAAUGGCAUAAGCCAGCUUGACUGCGAGCGUGACGGCGCGAGCAGGUGCGAAAGCAGGUCAUAGUGAUCCGGUGGUUCUGAAUGGAAGGGCCAUCGCUCAACGGAUAAAAGGUACUCCGGGGAUAACAGGCUGAUACCGCCCAAGAGUUCAUAUCGACGGCGGUGUUUGGCACCUCGAUGUCGGCUCAUCACAUCCUGGGGCUGAAGUAGGUCCCAAGGGUAUGGCUGUUCGCCAUUUAAAGUGGUACGCGAGCUGGGUUUAGAACGUCGUGAGACAGUUCGGUCCCUAUCUGCCGUGGGCGCUGGAGAACUGAGGGGGGCUGCUCCUAGUACGAGAGGACCGGAGUGGACGCAUCACUGGUGUUCGGGUUGUCAUGCCAAUGGCACUGCCCGGUAGCUAAAUGCGGAAGAGAUAAGUGCUGAAAGCAUCUAAGCACGAAACUUGCCCCGAGAUGAGUUCUCCCUGACUCCUUGAGAGUCCUGAAGGAACGUUGAAGACGACGACGUUGAUAGGCCGGGUGUGUAAGCGCAGCGAUGCGUUGAGCUAACCGGUACUAAUGAACCGUGAGGCUUAACCUU
This 2902-nucleotide ribosomal RNA is filed under the name Escherichia coli. RNAcentral's name for it is "23S ribosomal RNA". It matches the Rfam family "Bacterial large subunit ribosomal RNA". Lineage: Bacteria; Pseudomonadati; Pseudomonadota; Gammaproteobacteria; Enterobacterales; Enterobacteriaceae. RNAcentral also lists the same sequence under 1 other name. The record is from RNAcentral.